GAUGAAGAACGCAGCGAAAUGCGAUAAGUAGUGUGAAUUGCAGAAUUCAGUGAAUCAUCGAAUCUUUGAACGCACAUUGCGCCCCUUGGUAUUCCAUGGGGCAUGCCUGUUCGAGCGUCAUUUGUACCUUCAAGCUCUGCUUGGUGUUGGGUGUUUGUCUCGCCUCUGCGUGUAGACUCGCCUCAAAACAAUUGGCAGCCGGCGUAUUGAUUUCGGAGCGCAGUACAUCUCGCGCUUUGCACUCAUAACGACGACGUCCAAAAGUACAUUUUUACACUCUUGACCUCGGAUCAGGUAGGGAUACCCGCUGAACUUAAGCAUAUCAAUAAGCGGAGA
This 336-nucleotide unclassified non-coding RNA is filed under the name soil metagenome. RNAcentral's name for it is "partial contains 5.8S ribosomal RNA, internal transcribed spacer 2, and large subunit ribosomal RNA". The stretch from base 1 to 120 matches the Rfam family "5.8S ribosomal RNA", at positions 35 to 154 of the family's 154-position model. The record is from RNAcentral.